AUUGAACGCUGGCGGCAUGCCUAACACAUGCAAGUCGAGCGGAAGCAUGAUCUUGCUUGCUAGAUUUAUCGCUAGUGGCGUACGGGUGAGUAAUACAUCGGCACGUUACCUGUAGGUGAGGAUAACCAUCGGGAAGAAAGACCAAAUCCGUAUUCAACCUGAGGGUGGAAUGUGGUGAUCGCAAACGCUCAUUCUAUAGUCACGUCCGAAUUCUGAUUAGGUAGUUGGUGAGGUAAAGGCACACCAAGGCGACGAUCAGUAGCUGGUCUGAGAGGACGAUCAGCCACACUGGAACUGAGACACGGCCCAGACUCCUACGGGAGGCAGCAGUGGGGAAUUUUGGACAAUGGGCGAAAGCCUGAUCCAGCAAUGCCGCGUGUGUGAAGAAGGUCUUCGGAUUGUAAAGCACUUUUGUACGGGAAGAAAUGGUUCUGGUUAAUACCUGGGGUCGUUGACGGUACCGGAAGAAUAAGCACCGGCUAACUACGUG
Molecule: ribosomal RNA, 490 nt
Filed under: uncultured bacterium
Lineage: Bacteria
Description: partial 16S ribosomal RNA
Rfam family: Bacterial small subunit ribosomal RNA
Source: RNAcentral